UUUAUUAAAUUUUGUAUUAAACUCGGACAACAAAAUAUUCAGAGUUUUAAUUUCCUCUGGCGGGAGUUGGAAAAGCUAGAAAAAGCUUACUACUACCCGCCAAAGCAACAAAAGUCAAGUACAACAAAGGGUUGAAGGUUUAACCCCCAAAAGAAGAGGGCAUAACUCUUAUUAAUGAUCCUUCCGCAGGUUCACCUACGGAAA
This 204-nucleotide unclassified non-coding RNA is filed under the name uncultured fungus. Its description in RNAcentral is "sequence contains ITS1". The record is from RNAcentral. Lineage: Eukaryota; Fungi.